This is a long non-coding RNA of Salvelinus namaycush (lake trout), 3760 nucleotides long. RefSeq lists it as uncharacterized. The record is from RefSeq and is a predicted model, not a curated record. The transcript has 7 exons. NCBI's taxonomy places the organism in Eukaryota, Metazoa, Chordata, Actinopteri, Salmoniformes, Salmonidae.
AUUUUGGCUAAUUAGCUAUCUUGAGUGCUCCGAACACCUGUGUGUAAGCUAACUGGGAGGAAGUGUAGUUGGUCAACCGGAGGCACACACAGUGUAUGGAUCUGUGCAAAACUGCUACAGACGCUUUUUCCCGCCCCCGGAGAGCUAUGGACCAAUCGAAACCCAGCGUCCUGGAGCCCCUGUAGAACGCUGAACCAAUAGCGGACCACCUCAGCCUCUGUCCCGCCGACCUCAAAGCCGGCCCACUGGAGGUGUACCGUGGCAACCAGGUGACGGAUGCGCCCCAGAGUUCCGAGCUCUGCCCAGUUUUGCAGAACCCUCCACUCAGCACUCAGCAGGACAUCACCACUGCGCAGUGUGGGAGAAACGUUUGCACAAGGCAUCGUCUCUUUGUUCCCAUACCUUAAGGAUCCCUACACUGCAAAUGGAUAUGAACAUUAUUACGACCCUAAUAGUGGAGAAGGGUACCUCUCGUAUAGAAUCAAAACCAUUCAGAGGAAUUUGGUUUCAUCAGAGAAACGGCCCACUCAACUAUACUCUGGAGGGCCAACUGCUGAGAGGGAGUCCAGUCCAUCCACUUUGGCUACCCUGAGUGAAGACCAGUGCCGAGAGGCCAUUUCUCUUAUGAAGCAUUCUUCUGAUGAAGAAACAGAAGAUGAGAUUGACCUUUGAGUACAGGAAGAUGACCCACGACCCGACUAAAUGCUCCACCAUCCUAACCGAAUUUACACGCUUUCUGGAUGUGAAGGGCUUGUUUCAGAUUGAACAGGAUUUUGUGCUGCUCUUUGGAGAGGGAACAUCAGCCAAGUUUUUGGAGAGGUGGCCAACUACAUUCAAGCAAAAGAUCAUCAUGCUAAGCAAGGCCCUAAGCAAGGCCACUCAGGGAGCUGAACUUCAGGAGCUGAUCCAGAUGGCAGAAUCUGCAGUUGAUGAGGGAGCUGACACGAAUGCUUACGGAUAGGAAAGUGACCUUUCCUCCAUCCUUCUCCUGCUCCAUUUGAUUCCUCCUUCAUCACAAGGCCGCAAAAGACCAGGCAAGAUGUCUGCAUCCCAAGCUGAACAGCAUCUUGUGAUAUUCUAAAAGGCAGGAACCAGUAUCCAGGAGCACCUUGAUGCGAUUGACCAGAGCCGCCAACCAUAUCUUCUUGCAGUCGGGACCAGGAAGAGCAGCAUCCAUGCUUACUUCAUCAUCCUGGACAAGCGAGCCUUACCGUGCAAGUCAACGAGCGCUCUUGGUGCUUCGAUGAGCUUUUCAAGACUCACUUUGUUUUUGGUAUUGCUUACAAUACAAUGCUGCGCAACAUGUACACCUUCAUACAGACAACUGUGUACAUCAUAGACAUUGGGAAGGUUAAGGAGACUCCAAGGGUUGCUGAGCUCAGAGCUAGACCUCUGCACUAAUGCUGAUUAAGUGAUGAUAUGUUUUGUUUACCAUGCUAGUCAUGGAAGUACCAACUUGCUCAUAAGGCAUCUCAAGUUGAUGCAUGGAAUGUGCCCUGGUAGAACUCUUAGACUAAAAUGUGGUCAAGCAGAUUGUUGUCGUGUAUUUGGUACAUUUUCAGACUUUAGGAAGCAUUUGAACAGGGCACAAUCCCGAGACUGUCAAAUGCUAACUUGAAUGCUAAUACAGCCGUUGUUAAUCAGCCAAGUAAUGCUGAUUUUCCUUCAAAUUCUAGUUGUAACCAUGUACCAAUAUCUAACAAAAACACACUUGUAAUGUCUGCUAUUGCACAGCUGCAGGUGUAGGUCAGACUGUAAAUAGUUUUGUAUCUUCCAUGGAAGAAGCAGUUCAAGAGAUUCAGCGUCAAGCUAAAGCGACCGAUCUCACAUGUAUAUCUUCAAAAGACACACAAAUUGUCAGAAAAAUACAACAUUAUUUUCAGGAUAUUGAAAUUCCUUUCACAUUGUUGAAUUCGGUAUCAAAACGAAGUGCUUAUUUUAUACAAAAAUGGGGAACAGGUCAACCAGUUGAGAGUCCUUGGUGUUAGAUUUGACAAUAGAAGAAACAACACUACUGGAACUUAUGAUCAAAUGGUCAUAACUGAUCAAUUUUCUUACGUUCCAAUUCUCCAGACAUUGCAGUCAAUUUUGAAGAACCCAAAUACAAGUGGCAUGUUUAACUCGGGGCACAAUUUUAAAAUUGAGUUUACUUUAAUUUGAAAGCUGGACUAUAUAUGAAGAGACAUCCUCUCUUUUCUAAAGAGAAAAAUGCAUUGAAAAUUCAACUCUUAUGAUGACUUUGAGACUGCUAAUCCAUUGGGAUCAAAAAAGGGAAUUCACAAGUUGGGAGGUAUAUACUUUACUUUGAGAAAUUUUACCCCAAAGUUUCAUUCAAUGUUGGUAAAUAUUCACUUAUGUGCACUCUUCCAUACCCAGGACCUUAAAACGUAGGGAUUUGAUUCCAUUCUUGAGCCAAUAGUUAGCGAUUUGAAAUUGCUUGUGACUGAGGGUAUUGCAGUUCCCUUCUUCAGUGGUUGUAUACAUGGCAGUAUUGUCCAAGUAACUGGAGAUAAUCUUGGUAUACAUUGCCUGUUUGGUUUUGUGGAAUCAUUUAGUGCUCGUUAUUGUUGCCAUUUCUGCAACACUGAGAAAGUGGAUUUUUAAACUGUGUUCUCUGAGGAUGACCCAAGAGUGACUUUACGAACAAAACACAUGCAACUCAGACCAUUGUCAAACUAUUCGGUCAAACCCAACACGGUGUGAAGCAUGCUUGCUUAUUGAACUCUCCAGUACUUCAAUACUACAGACAACUUUCUGUUGAUAUAAUGCAUGACAUUUUAGGAGUUGCACAAUUUGAGGUAACUUGCGUUACAGUAUAUACAAGCCAACUUUGUGACUGAUAAAGAUGUGUACGGUAGAGUUCAUUCAUGUAACUAUGGCUACACAGAGAGGAGGAAUCGUCCACCUGCACUCAAAUUGGAUGAUGGGAGCAAUGAUUUGGGUCUAAAUGCUAUUCAGUCUUGGUGUCUUCUCUGUAAUUUGCCAUUGAUAUUUGGUGAUCUGGUACAGAAAGAUGAUAAAUACUGGCAGCUGCUUCUGUUACUACUACAAAUUGUAAAUAUUGUGUUUUCUCCUAUACUAACAAAGGGCAUGACUAUCUAUCUGAAGCACUUAAUUGCUGAACAUCAUAGGCUUUUCAAGUAUUUUUUUCCUGAUUAGAAAUCUGUUACCGAAACACCACUUCAUGAUACAUUAUCCUCGUUGUAUAAGGAAUUUUUGGGUCUCAGUGCACACAAAUGUUUUGUCAGCUAAAUGGGUAAAGCACCAUGGUAUAAAAUAUCGUCUUGAUUUGGUCAUAUGUGGUGAAGUAGUCAUUUGAAAUGCCAGUAUACAAAAUUGAGUCUAUUCUUCUGAAAGAUAAAUGUUUUUUGGGUUGGGUCAGCUCUUGAAACCUUAUGUUUUGAUGAUCAUUUGCAUGCAUUUAAAGUUUUGAAGCAUAGUCCACCAUGCAAAGUAUUUCAUGUAAAUAACAUAAUGUACCACAAACCUUUUGAUUUGCUCAUGUCAUAUGGAGCAAGGGAUUUUUUUGACUACAUUGUCCCCUACUGUCACUUGAUAACAGUUUAAGCCAGGGCUGAUACUUAUGGUUAGGUUGUGAGAAACAUGUUUUUAAUGUAAAUGUCAGCAUUUUCCAACAAACCUAUUGAUUUGCUCAUGUCAUAUGGAGCAAGGGAUUCUUUUGACUACAUUCUACUGUCACUUGAUAAGUUUAAGCCAGGGCUGGGACUUAUGGUUUGGUUAUAAUAAACAUAUUUGAAUG